This 224-nucleotide ribosomal RNA is filed under the name uncultured bacterium. RNAcentral's name for it is "partial 16S ribosomal RNA". It matches the Rfam family "Bacterial small subunit ribosomal RNA", at positions 112 to 334 of the family's 1533-position model. The record is from RNAcentral.
CGGACGUGAGGAACCUGCCUCAAAGAGGGGGACAACAGUUGGAAACGACUGCUAAUACCGCAUAAGCCCACAGCUCGGCAUCGAGCAGAGGGAAAAGGAGUGAUCCGCUUUGAGAUGGCCUCGCGUCCGAUUAGCUAGUUGGUGAGGUAAUGGCCCACCAAGGCGACGAUCGGUAGCCGGACUGAGAGGCUGAACGGCCACAUUGGGACUGAGACACGGCCCAG